RNAcentral lists this ribosomal RNA (429 nucleotides) under uncultured archaeon. RNAcentral describes it as "bacterial SSU rRNA". It matches the Rfam family "Archaeal small subunit ribosomal RNA", at positions 474 to 903 of the family's 1478-position model. The record is from RNAcentral.
UACCUGCAGCUCGAGUGGUAACCGCUUUUAUUGGGCCUAAAGCGUCCGUAGCCGGUUUGGUAAAUAUCUGGGUAAAUCGUGAGGCUUAACUUCACGAAUUUCGGAUAGACUGCCAGACUUGGGAUCGGGGGAGGUCAGAGGUACUCCAGGGGUAGCGGUGAAAUGUUGUAAUCCUUGGAGGACCACCGGUAGCGAAGGCGUCUGACUAGAACGAGUCCGACGGUGAGGGACGAAGCCCUGGGGCGCAAACCGGAUUAGAUACCCGGGUAGUCCAGGGUGUAACAAUGUGGGCUUUGUAUUGGAGGUCCUACGUGGGCGUCCAGUGCAGAAGAGAAGUUGUAAGCCCACCGCCUGGGAAGUACGGUCGCAAAGGCUGAAACUUAAAGGAAUUGGCGGGGGAGCACAGACAACGGGAGGAGCGUGCGGUUU